Molecule: transfer RNA, 66 nt
Filed under: Chrysops dissectus
Lineage: Eukaryota; Metazoa; Arthropoda; Insecta; Diptera; Tabanidae
Description: tRNA-Pro
Source: RNAcentral
CAGGAAGUAGUUUAAAUAAAAUAUUAAUUUUGGGGAUUAAUGAUAAAGAAUUUUCUUUUUUCCUGA